UUCAUGAUGGGAGCAUUUUGAGUUAUGCUUGUACCAGUGUGAGCUAACUUACCCAUAUGGCAGCUAUGGGUAGAACCAGGCAAGGACUAUGUCAAGUCAUGAAAAGGAGUGAACUGGAACAAUGAAUCACCUUGUUCAAACCACAGGGCUUCGGAAAAUAUAAAUACAAGUAUAAUAUCAUCAUGAAGAACUUCAGAGGAAAACAAAGCAAAGGAGCCUUGGUCUUCACAAUUACCCAUAACAGUGAUGGCGAACCUUUUAGAGACAAGUGCCCGAACUGCAACUCCUAGCCCACAUAUUUAUC
Long non-coding RNA from Cavia porcellus (domestic guinea pig), 304 nucleotides. RefSeq lists it as uncharacterized. The transcript is spliced from 3 exons. The record is from RefSeq and is a predicted model, not a curated record. NCBI's taxonomy places the organism in Eukaryota, Metazoa, Chordata, Mammalia, Rodentia, Caviidae.